Molecule: long non-coding RNA, 757 nt
Organism: Mastomys coucha (southern multimammate mouse)
Lineage: Eukaryota; Metazoa; Chordata; Mammalia; Rodentia; Muridae
Exons: 4
Source: RefSeq, a predicted model, not a curated record
CUCUUUCCCUCUCUCUCUCUGCCUUUCUCUGUCUCUACUACCCUCUCAACUCCCCUCCCCAUGCUCUGAAUACACUCUAUUCUAUACUAUAUAGUCAUGUGGCUGGUCCGUCAGGGGAAAGGGAAGCCUCAGCAUGGGCCCUCAGAGGCACCCCCUUUCCCUGCCACCUUACUGCACCCCCACCAAACAUAUUCCUUCUUUCCUUAUCUUUUUAUAAAACACAACAGCAGGUUUGCUUGCCAGUCUGUGCCAGCCUUGGAAGAUGUUGGAAUCUUUACGAAGUAGAACUCCUUGGGUUUAGCAUGUAUCCUGGGAUGAAAUAUGUGGACCCCAUUCUCCUUCCCUUUGUUUAUAAUGAUGUCAUUAGAGUCUUGCUGUGUAGCUCAGGAUAGACACAUGACACUUCUUCCCUUGACUUCUGAGCACUGGAUUUACAGCAUCUCCUGCCAGCAAGCCCCUGCAACCAUUCUCAUAGACUGGUGCUUGAGAACACACCCCAUCUAUGAGGCUUAUUGCUCUCCUUCUGGUGCAAAUACUUUUAAAAGCUACAUGGUGUUGUUUGCAGUGUCAGAUAGAAGCCCUAUGGAUGCCUCAUCACCUCUGUAAAGCAUUGAUGAUCCAACUUCUCGCUGGCUUAAGAAACUGCUCAGGGCUCUAACCAUGAAAAGUGGCUUAUUGACUUCUUUUCCUCAGAGCCACUAACUAGGAGAAAUCAAUGGGUCAGUAAGGAAAUAAACUGUCAGAUGUCGUUGCUGGA